This 198-nucleotide ribosomal RNA is filed under the name uncultured bacterium. RNAcentral describes it as "partial 16S ribosomal RNA". It matches the Rfam family "Bacterial small subunit ribosomal RNA", at positions 328 to 539 of the family's 1533-position model. The record is from RNAcentral.
ACGCUCGACACCUACUGGAGGCAGCAGUGGGGAAUAUUGCACAAUGGGGGAAACCCUGAUGCAGCGACGCCGCGUGAGUGAAGAAGUAUUUCGGUAUGUAAAGCUCUAUCAGCAGGGAAGAAGAUGACGGUACCUGAGUAAGAAGCCCCGGCUAACUACGUACCAGCAGCCGCGGUAAUCUGAGCGGGCUGGCAAGGC